GCUUUUAAAAAGAUUUGCACAAUACAUCCUUCAUAUUGUUAUUUUUAUCUCUGUAAAUUUGUAAUGGCCUCUAAAAAAAAAGCUGUGUAACAAGAGUAUCAGAUGUUACUUUGCUCACUGUUGAGGGCUGUGAAGAACAGAAGAAAACUAAGGAAGAAAACAAAACUGGGAAGGGCAAUGAAGGAAUGGGUUAGCGUUCAAAAGUAAAGUGUGUUCCACACAAAAGAAAGAGUUCAGGUACCUGAGUCAGCGGCAAUGCAAGGACAAGAGAUGGGCUUUUAGAGAGAAUUGAGCUUGUCAAUGUGACUCAGCUCUGGAAGACCAAAAAAUUAUGGAGGGAGAGGUAACAGAUCCAUCCUGAACUAAUGUGGAUAUGUCAGUAUAAGUUGAAGACCGCUCAAGGAAAUGCAGCCCUUUUGGGUUCUCUGAAGGUCACUUUUCCUUGGACUGACUUUCCUCAUAGUCCCACACCCAGAAGCAAAAAUGAGCCAUCUCUUUUGUCUUUUCAAAGAUUGGAGAUACCUUUUCCAGAAAUCCUCCCAACAGCCUUGCCCUCAUGUUUCAAGGCCAGACUCCUUUUACCUGAGCAGAUCUGCAGCCAGUUUAUUGGCAAGUUGAGUAAGACUGAUGUGAUUAGCUGACACCAAUCAAGACCUACCCUCUGCAAUGUGGCCGUACCCAGGAGGAAGCACACCUGAAAAAAAGACAAUAUUCUCAUUGGAAGAAGCAAGCACAGAAAGGAGGUGGUAUUGGGGAAUAGGUAUUGCAUAGGCUACCAGCAAUGCCAGCUGAAACAUGAACAUGAUGGAUCCAUGAUGCAGCAAAUUAUCUGCCCCAUAAGGGUUUCAACUUGAAGUCUGUAAAUUUGUUUUGAUAAUCUUAUCAUUCUCACUUGUUAGCCUUUUAAAAUUUCAGGUUGAAGGCAGCCUAAAUAUUACAACAUUUUCAAGUUUUGGUGAUUAUUGUCUGACAUUUAAAACUAGCUAGACAUAAUAAUAUAUUAAAUUAAAGAGAUUUUAGUAGCAUCAUUUAGAAGAUCUGUUUCAUCUAUUUUAGCAAAAUGUUCUAUAUUUUCAUACCAGUGCUCUGAGAUAAUUAUAAUUAAAAGGACACAAAACUGUGACUAAAAAUGUGUAUUUUCCUUCUGUGGUCUUUGUGCUUCUUCAAAUGACAGGUGUUUAAGAAAGGAAAUUCUAUUCAUUGCUGUCUUUGCUAUCUUUUCUAUAGCAAAAAAAAAAAAAAAAAAAAAAAACCCAAACUUUAAAUAAUGACUUUUUAUAAGAGAAAAACUGAAAUGAUGAACAGAUUGCUUUGAUCACUGCUUUGCUGAACAACU
This 1336-nucleotide long non-coding RNA is filed under the name Callithrix jacchus (white-tufted-ear marmoset). Its description in RNAcentral is "lncRNA (ENSCJAG00000086114.1)". The record is from RNAcentral. Lineage: Eukaryota; Metazoa; Chordata; Mammalia; Primates; Cebidae.